GUGGGGAAUAUUGGACAAUGGGCGCAAGCCUGAUCCAGCCAUGCCGCGUGAGUGAUGAAGGCCCUAGGGUUGUAAAGCUCUUUCACCGGUGAAGAUAAUGACGGUAACCGGAGAAGAAGCCCCGGCUAACUUCGUGCCAGCAGCCGCGGUAAUACGAAGGGGGCUAGCGUUGUUCGGAAUUACUGGGCGUAAAGCGCACGUAGGCGGGUAUUUAAGUCAGGGGUGAAAUCCCGGAGCUCAACUCCGGAACUGCCUUUGAUACUGGGUACCUAGAGUAUGGAAGAGGUAAGUGGAAUUCCGAGUGUAGAGGUGAAAUUCGUAGAUAUUCGGAGGAACACCAGUGGCGAAGGCGGCUUACUGGUCCAUUACUGACGCUGAGGUGCGAAAGCGUGGGGAGCAAACAGGAUUAGAAACCCUUGUAGUCC
RNAcentral lists this ribosomal RNA (425 nucleotides) under uncultured bacterium. RNAcentral describes it as "bacterial SSU rRNA". It matches the Rfam family "Bacterial small subunit ribosomal RNA", at positions 354 to 796 of the family's 1533-position model. The record is from RNAcentral.